Molecule: ribosomal RNA, 622 nt
Filed under: uncultured bacterium
Lineage: Bacteria
Description: bacterial SSU rRNA
Rfam family: Bacterial small subunit ribosomal RNA (bases 1-530)
Source: RNAcentral
CCUACGGGAGGCAGCAGUAGGGAAUAUUGGGCAAUGGAGGCAACUCUGACCCAGCCAUGCCGCGUGCAGGAAGAAGGCGUUAUGCGUUGUAAACUGCUUUUAUAUAGGAAGAAAUAGACCUUGCGAGGUAAGUUGACGGUACUAUAUGAAUAAGCACCGGCUAACUCCGUGCCAGCAGCCGCGGUAAUACGGAGGGUGCAAGCGUUGUCCGGAUUUAUUGGGUUUAAAGGGUGCGUAGGCGGUUUAUUAAGUCAGUGGUGAAAGACGGUCGCUCAACGAUUGCAGUGCCAUUGAUACUGGUAGACUUGAGUGGGAUUGAGGUAGCUGGAAUGGAUAGUGUAGCGGUGAAAUGCAUAGAUAUUAUCCAGAACACCAAUUGCGUAGGCAAGUUACUAAGUCUCAACUGACGCUGAGGCACGAAAGUGUGGGUAUCAAACAGGAUUAGAUACCCUGGUAGUCCACACUGUAAACGAUGAUAACUAACUGUUGCUUUCGGGUCAGUGGUACAGAGAAUCGUUAAGUUAUCCACCGUGGGAGGUAACGGUCCGGCGACGGUUAGUAACGUUACGAAAGGAAGUUAGACGGCGUGAGACGNGCCGACGGACGACGACGAGGGAGGAGG